GGACAGCGGCUACACCCCGACGCCGGUGACCCCGUCUCCCAAGCCCGAGAAGCCACCCAAGGGCCACAAGCCGCCCCACCACCACCACCACGCCAAGCCUCCGGCUGGCUCCCACAAGCCGGCGCCUCCCACGGCCACUCCUCCCACGCCGGCGUACAAGCCACCCACGGCCACGCCUCCGGCUCCGACGCCACCGAAGUACACUCCGUCCCCGAAGCCACCGACGCCUAAGCCCACACCACCCACGUAUACCCCGACCCCGAAGCCGCCCACUCCCACACCAAAGCCCACGCCGCCAACGUACAAGCCGGCACCCAAGCCCACUCCUCCCACGUAUAAGCCCACACCCAAGCCCUCGCCGCCGACGUACCCGCCGAAGCCAACACCACCCACCUACAAGCCGGCGCCGAAGCCGACUCCCCCGACCUACAAGCCGGCGCCGAAGCCGACACCGCCCACCUACAAGCCCGCGCCGAAGCCGACGCCCCCGACCUACAAGCCGGACCCCAAGCCGACUCCCCCGACGUACAAGCCCGCGCCGAAGCCGGCCCCCAAGCCUACGCCCCCGAACUACAAGCCGGCGCCGAAGCCGACGCCGCCGUCGUACAAGCCGGCCCCGAAGCCCACUCCCCCGGCACCGAAGCCCACGCCGCCGACACCACCAGCCUACAAGCCGGCGCCGAAGCCGAGCCCUCCGACGCCCGCCCCGCCGGCGUACAAGCCUCCGACUCCGACUCCUCCGGCGUACAAGACCCCCACUCCGAGCCCGCCGCCGCCGCCCUACCACCACUAAGAUCCAUCACUCUCUUUAGUUGGGAGCACAGGU
This 826-nucleotide long non-coding RNA is filed under the name Brachypodium distachyon (stiff brome). Its description in RNAcentral is "long non-coding RNA (BDIS_LNC005761)". Lineage: Eukaryota; Viridiplantae; Streptophyta; Magnoliopsida; Poales; Poaceae. The record is from RNAcentral.